This 74-nucleotide transfer RNA is filed under the name Solirubrobacteraceae bacterium. Its description in RNAcentral is "tRNA-Ala". It matches the Rfam family "tRNA". From Rfam's summary of the family: Transfer RNA (tRNA) molecules are approximately 80 nucleotides in length. The record is from RNAcentral. Lineage: Bacteria; Bacillati; Actinomycetota; Thermoleophilia; Solirubrobacterales; Solirubrobacteraceae. RNAcentral also lists the same sequence under 1 other name.
GGGGCUAUAGCUCAGCUGGGAGAGCGUCUGGCUGGCAGCCAGAAGGUCGCCGGUUCGAGCCCGGCUAGCUCCAC